This 86-nucleotide transfer RNA is filed under the name Candidatus Heimdallarchaeota archaeon. Its description in RNAcentral is "tRNA-Ser". It matches the Rfam family "tRNA". Rfam says of the family: Transfer RNA (tRNA) molecules are approximately 80 nucleotides in length. Their secondary structure includes four short double-helical elements and three loops (D, anti-codon, and T loops). The record is from RNAcentral. Lineage: Archaea; Promethearchaeati; Candidatus Heimdallarchaeota.
GGCGAGGUACUCAAGUCUGGCCCAAGAGGCAUGCCUGGAAAGCAUGUGUGCACCUGCACUCGAGGGUUCAAAUCCCUCUCUCGCCA